CAUAGGUUAAUGAGGCGAACCGGGGGAACUGAAACAUCUAAGUACCCCGAGGAAAAGAAAUCAACCGAGAUUCCCCCAGUAGCGGCGAGCGAACGGGGAGCAGCCCAGAGCCUGAAUCAGUAUGUGUGUUAGUGGAAGCGUCUGGAAAGGCGCGCGAUACAGGGUGACAGCCCCGUACACAAAAAUGCACAUGCUGUGAGCUCGAUGAGUAGGGCGGGACACGUGGUAUCCUGUCUGAAUAUGGGGGGACCAUCCUCCAAGGCUAAAUACUCCUGACUGACCGAUAGUGAACCAGUACCGUGAGGGAAAGGCGAAAAGAACCCCGGCGAGGGGAGUGAAAAAGAACCUGAAACCGUGUACGUACAAGCAGUGGGAGCACGCUUAGGCGUGUGACUGCGUACCUUUUGUAUAAUGGGUCAGCGACUUAUAUUCUGUAGCAAGGUUAACCGAAUAGGGGAGCCGAAGGGAAACCGAGUCUUAACUGGGCGUUAAGUUGCAGGGUAUAGACCCGAAACCCGGUGAUCUAGCCAUGGGCAGGUUGAAGGUUGGGUAACACUAACUGGAGGACCGAACCGACUAAUGUUGAAAAAUUAGCGGAUGACUUGUGGCUGGGGGUGAAAGGCCAAUCAAACCGGGAGAUAGCUGGUUCUCCCCGAAAGCUAUUUAGGUAGCGCCUCGUGAAUUCAUCUCCGGGGGUAGAGCACUGUUUCGGCAAGGGGGUCAUCCCGACUUACCAACCCGAUGCAAACUGCGAAUACCGGAGAAUGUUAUCACGGGAGACACACGGCGGGUGCUAACGUCCGUCGUGAAGAGGGAAACAACCCAGACCGCCAGCUAAGGUCCCAAAGUCAUGGUUAAGUGGGAAACGAUGUGGGAAGGCCCAGACAGCCAGGAUGUUGGCUUAGAAGCAGCCAUCAUUUAAAGAAAGCGUAAUAGCUCACUGGUCGAGUCGGCCUGCGCGGAAGAUGUAACGGGGCUAAACCAUGCACCGAAGCUGCGGCAGCGACGCUGAUGCGUUGUUGGGUAGGGGAGCGUUCUGUAAGCCUGCGAAGGUGUGCUGUGAGGCAUGCUGGAGGUAUCAGAAGUGCGAAUGCUGACAUAAGUAACGAUAAAGCGGGUGAAAAGCCCGCUCGCCGGAAGACCAAGGGUUCCUGUCCAACGUUAAUCGGGGCAGGGUGAGUCGACCCCUAAGGCGAGGCCGAAAGGCGUAGUCGAUGGGAAACAGG
This 1226-nucleotide ribosomal RNA is filed under the name Escherichia coli. RNAcentral describes it as "partial 23S ribosomal RNA". It matches the Rfam family "Bacterial large subunit ribosomal RNA", at positions 165 to 1429 of the family's 2925-position model. Lineage: Bacteria; Pseudomonadati; Pseudomonadota; Gammaproteobacteria; Enterobacterales; Enterobacteriaceae. The record is from RNAcentral.